AUAGAUUCAUAAUUUAAUUAUUUCUCUUCAGCAUCAUGAAAAUCUCAGCUCUUGCCUUUUUCGCCCUUGUCGGAGUUAUCGGUGUUGCCCUCGGUGCCGGGUACGGAUACGGCGGUUAUUCUGGCGGGUACACCUACAUGCCAGUAUCUGGUUACGGUCAGCAAGGGGCCGGCGGAUUAGGAGAUGGUUCUUUCUUGAUGCUGAUCGGAUUCUUGUUCCUGAUCUUGAUCUUGUUCAACAGCAACCUGUUUAACACCACCUCAUCAGCUACGACCACACCCAUCACCAUCCUCCAGGGUUAAAAAUGAUUUAGUAAAAGACCAGCAGCACUUUACGCCGAACAUCUAUAUUUCCACGACCCUUUCUAUGGAGAUAUUCCAGCUGUGAUGUGAUUGGUCAAUUUAUAAUACUUUCUGUGAUAUCUAAGUUAUUUAUCAUUAAUGUUAUAUUGAUGCGUUUUAUGCCAAAACACUGCAAUAAAAUCUUAAAAGAAAAUAA
Ruditapes philippinarum (Manila clam) is the source of this 498-nucleotide long non-coding RNA. RefSeq lists it as uncharacterized. The transcript has 3 exons. The record is from RefSeq and is a predicted model, not a curated record. NCBI's taxonomy places the organism in Eukaryota, Metazoa, Mollusca, Bivalvia, Venerida, Veneridae.